UCCAUGUGUUUGUUAAAAUGCCUAAGUGAAUAAUAAUUGUGUAUUAUGACCCAUUUGUGAUUCAAAUGAUGAACUCAUGAUGUACCCACAUGUUCAAAAGGAAUUCCAUGCUAAAUUUGUGUCUUGUAAUGAUUUGAGAAAAUGUUUAUGAGAUUAAAAUUGUGAAUUUAUGAUAUAUUGCAUACGUUCCUAUCCAUGUACAAGCUUAUGACCUUCAAGUGCUUGUGAAAUCCCUCAAUGAUUGUAUUGUGAAUUGAUGACUAUGGUCAUGUGUUCAAGAAUGGUCAUGUCUUAUUAUUUUUAUGCUAUAGAGUCCUAGGGGUAUUUAAUACCCGAUAAUUUAGUUGUGUGCCUAGAGCCAGUAUCAGUUUUCAAGAUAUUCUCAGUCAAUCCAUGAUCAUUAGAAUUCAAUUAGUUACAGAACUCAGGAAAACUCAGUAAUCUCAAUGUCAGUCCAGUCCCAAUUAAUAUUCAGUUAAGUCCUCAGUAAAACUCAGUCAGUUAUUAGAAUUCAGUAGUAUUUCAUUAGUCAAUGAAACUCAGUAAACUCAGUCCAUUUCAGCACAGUAUAAUCAGUUCAGCGUCUAAUCAGAUGGGAGUAGGAUUCAACACUGAGUGAACCCAUGGAUGGGAACUCACCUGCUAGCAGAGGGUGUGAUUCUUAGAAGCAAUCCUUACAUUCUAGAACUAUAUAGCCA
Molecule: long non-coding RNA, 698 nt
Filed under: Capsicum annuum
Lineage: Eukaryota; Viridiplantae; Streptophyta; Magnoliopsida; Solanales; Solanaceae
Description: long non-coding RNA (CANN_LNC007090)
Source: RNAcentral